UGGGGAAUUUUGGACAAUGGGCGAAAGCCUGAUCCAGCAAUGCCGCGUGUGUGAAGAAGGCCUUCGGGUUGUAAAGCACUUUUGUCCGGAAAGAAAUCCUUGGCUCUAAUACAGUCGGGGGAUGACGGUACCGGAAGAAUAAGCACCGGCUAACUACGUGCCAGCAGCCGCGGUAAUACGUAGGGUGCAAGCGUUAAUCGGAAUUACUGGGCGUAAAGCGUGCGCAGGCGGUUUGCUAAGACCGAUGUGAAAUCCCCGGGCUCAACCUGGGAACUGCAUUGGUGACUGGCAGGCUAGAGUAUGGCAGAGGGGGGUAGAAUUCCACGUGUAGCAGUGAAAUGCGUAGAGAUGUGGAGGAAUACCGAUGGCGAAGGCAGCCCCCUGGGCCAAUACUGACGCUCAUGCACGAAAAGCGUGGGGGAGCAAAACAGGAUUAGAUACCCCUGGUAGUCCACGCCCUAAAACGAUGUCAACUAGUUGUUGGGGAUUCAUUUCCUUAGUAACGUAGCUAACGCGUGAAGUUGACCGCCUGGGGAGUACGGUCGCAAGAUUAAAACUUAAAGGAAUUGACGGGGUCAUAGCUG
This 584-nucleotide ribosomal RNA is filed under the name uncultured bacterium. Its description in RNAcentral is "partial 16S ribosomal RNA". It matches the Rfam family "Bacterial small subunit ribosomal RNA", at positions 355 to 932 of the family's 1533-position model. The record is from RNAcentral.